RNAcentral lists this ribosomal RNA (515 nucleotides) under Streptomyces sp. Its description in RNAcentral is "bacterial SSU rRNA". It matches the Rfam family "Bacterial small subunit ribosomal RNA", at positions 964 to 1469 of the family's 1533-position model. Lineage: Bacteria; Bacillati; Actinomycetota; Actinomycetes; Kitasatosporales; Streptomycetaceae. The record is from RNAcentral.
AAGAACCUUACCAAGGCUUGACAUAUACCGGAAAGCAUUAGAGAUAGUGCCCCCCUUGUGGUCGGUAUACAGGUGGUGCAUGGCUGUCGUCAGCUCGUGUCGUGAGAUGUUGGGUUAAGUCCCGCAACGAGCGCAACCCUUGUCCUGUGUUGCCAGCAUGCCCUUCGGGGUGAUGGGGACUCACAGGAGACCGCCGGGGUCAACUCGGAGGAAGGUGGGGACGACGUCAAGUCAUCAUGCCCCUUAUGUCUUGGGCUGCACACGUGCUACAAUGGCCGGUACAAAGAGCUGCGAUGCCGCGAGGCGGAGCGAAUCUCAAAAAGCCGGUCUCAGUUCGGAUUGGGGUCUGCAACUCGACCCCAUGAAGUCGGAGUUGCUAGUAAUCGCAGAUCAGCAUUGCUGCGGUGAAUACGUUCCCGGGCCUUGUACACACCGCCCGUCACGUCACGAAAGUCGGUAACACCCGAAGCCGGUGGCCCAACCCCUUGUGGGAGGGAGCUGUCGAAGGUGGGACC